CAGCCGCCAGUGCCGGGCGUGCUGUAGUUCUACAAGUCAGUAUCUUGUAAAAGGGGACGCAACGCCAAGGUCAAAUGUCCGGCAACUAAUAAGCCCCGUCCUUCGGGCAGCACCGCACGUUAGAGCGUCCUGUAUAUGCCAGCCUCCCAUAGUUCUUUGGAUCCUUCUUUCACUUCGACUCAGUGAUGCUUUUUCUUUACAAUGUGUAAGGAGGGCUUACUGAAUCUACGGCAGCGUGUCAAUAUAGCCAAGAGAACGGCAUCUGAUUCCUAAUCUGUGCUGUAGCAGAGCUUUUUCUUUACAAUGUGUAAGGAGGGCUUACUGAAUCUACGGCAGCGUGUCAAUAUAGCCAAGAGAACGGCAUCUGAUUCCUAAUCUGUGCUGUAGCAGAGCUUUUUCUUUACAAUGUGUAAGGAGGGCUUACUGAAUCUACGGCAGCGUGUCAAUAUAGCCAAGAGAACGGCAUCUGAUUCCUAAUCUGUGCUGUAGCAGAGGAAAAUUGUAAACAGAGAGCAAGUCACACAUCUUCAAGACAUAUAUCAGAUAAAGUCAGGCUACAGACAAAAAGUAUUUCACACUAAGGGGAUUACUGAAAGCAAUGUACUCAAAUUAGAAAAGACCACAUAGAAGCCCUGGGUGUGGGCCAAGUACAUGAAUCAUCUCAAGCUGUCAAGAGAUCAUUAUUUCUUUAACAACACAGAAACCAAACACUGCAAUCGCAACGUGCUGUAUGAUCCUUUGGUAUAACAGAUGUCGUAUCCAAAACUGCAUAUCAUUAGCAAGACAGAUAAUUCUUAUAUUUCAGGAAUGCUUAAUGAAUUAUGAUUCUUUCAUUCAUUGUAUUGCUAGAGACUGCAGGCUAUUGCUUAGUAAUCACGCUAAUUAAAGGGAAAAUAAACCCCAUUGGAAUCAACAAAGAUGAUGGGAUGAAAUGUUUACAGAAUGUGUGAAUAUGGCCUUAUGCAAAAAGGUAUUAUGCUAAAACGUAUUUAAAGAGGAAUUACUGGUUGUCAUGUAAGCCAUUUAAAUUUGGAAACAUAAGCUGUACAAACUGCAUUGGCAAGGGACCAACAAACACACAUGUUGGGGUGGUUCUUGACAAACACAAUACAGAUGUGGACAAAUUUGUCCUAAAAAGUGAUGCAAUUAAAAGCUAUUGUCUAAUGUGUACCUGGAUGCUUUUGCUAUUUUAUAGAAUAGAGCAAAGAAACUGAAAACAGGCAAAUUGCUGCUUAUUCUCCAAAGACAUUCUAAAAUGGCCUGGAGAGAUUGUUGGUAGACCUUAGAAAAGAUAAUAUACAAUUUGAUUAAAGUGAUUUUUCAAAGUAAUAGUUUUUCUCAAUUAGAUUCACACAUAUCUUCAAACUUGUACUCAGUCAUUCAGCCUAUUUAAUUGGAGAAAAGUAGUUACUCUGCUGUUUGGUAUCAUUGUGUGCACCCCACUGAACAUAAGGGGUAAUUCAGAGUUGAUCGCAGCAGCAAAUUUGAUAGCAGUUGGGCAAACCAUGGUGGUCAUUCCGAGUUUUUCGCUCGCUAGCUGCUUUUAGCAGCAUUGCACACGCUAAGCCGCCACCCAGCGUUCGCCCAGACACUCCCCCGUUUCUUUAGACACUCCCGCGUUUUUCCCACAAACGCCAGCGUUUUUUCACACACGCCCAGAAAACGGGCAGUUUCCGCCCAGAAACACCCACUUCCUGUCAAUCACACUACGAUCACCAGAACGAUGAAAAAUCCUCGUUAUGCCGUGAGUAAAAUACCUAACUUUUGUGUAAAAUAACUAACCGCAUGCGCUCUGCGAACCUUGCGCAUGCGCAGUAAGCGACUAAUCCAGUGCCGGAGCUUCCACUAGGCAGCUUUAGGCAGCUGCCUAGGAGCGCCGGAUCCUGAGGGGGCCGUCUGCUACAGCUGCCUGAAAAAGGUAGCAUGGGCCUACCUCACAGUCGCCGCAAUCCCCUCAGCACUCGUAUCUUACAGUAGUCGCAACUGGCAAGCUCCCGUAUUGCAGCCUCCAGCUCCGCCUUUCUUUGACAGCUGCUGGAGUCCUGGCUGGGGGUGACAUGUGGCGCUGCUCUUCAUUGCAGGCUCUUUCGCAGACUACUCAGUCCCAACUCUGCAUCGCAUCCUGCAGGUAAG
Long non-coding RNA from Pseudophryne corroboree (corroboree frog), 2133 nucleotides. RefSeq lists it as uncharacterized. NCBI's taxonomy places the organism in Eukaryota, Metazoa, Chordata, Amphibia, Anura, Myobatrachidae. The transcript has 7 exons. The record is from RefSeq and is a predicted model, not a curated record.